RNAcentral lists this ribosomal RNA (485 nucleotides) under uncultured bacterium. Its description in RNAcentral is "partial 16S ribosomal RNA". It matches the Rfam family "Bacterial small subunit ribosomal RNA", at positions 30 to 523 of the family's 1533-position model. The record is from RNAcentral.
GCCGAACGCUGGCGGCGUGCUUAACACAUGCAAGUCGUACGGUUAAAGCGGAGCUUGCUCCGCUGGAUCAGUGGCUAACGGGUGAGUAACACGUGGGCAACCUGCCCUUCACUUCGGGAUACCCCCGGGAAACCGGGGCUAAUACUGGAUAUGACCUCCUUGGGUCUCCUUUGAGGUGGCAAGUUUUUCGGAGAGGGUUGGGCACGCGGCCUAUCAGCUUGUUGGUGAAGUAGUGGCUCACCAAGGCGACGACGGGUAGCCGGCCUGAGAGGGCGACCGGCCACACUGGGACUGAGACACGGCCCAGACUCCUACGGGAGGCAGCAGUGGGGAAUAUUGCGCAAUGGGCGAAAGCCUGACGCAGCAACGCCGCGUGCGGGAUGACGGCCUUCGGGUUGUAAACCGCUUUCAGCAGGGAAGAAGCCGCAAGGUGACGGUACCUGCAGAAGGAGCACCGGCUAACUACGUGCCAGCCGCCGCCGUAA